RNAcentral lists this microRNA (22 nucleotides) under Ornithorhynchus anatinus (platypus). RNAcentral describes it as "oan-miR-7401-5p". The record is from miRBase by way of RNAcentral. Lineage: Eukaryota; Metazoa; Chordata; Mammalia; Monotremata; Ornithorhynchidae.
CUGUGCACAGAGUACUGGACUA